This 89-nucleotide transfer RNA is filed under the name Streptomyces toxytricini. Its description in RNAcentral is "tRNA-Ala". Lineage: Bacteria; Bacillati; Actinomycetota; Actinomycetes; Kitasatosporales; Streptomycetaceae. The record is from RNAcentral.
CGUUCGGCCGGGGCGGCAGCGCCCCGGCCGUGCCGGCGCCGCGGCCCGGCCGCGCGGAGCCGGCGCCGGGCGCCACGGCGGCCGUACGG